Molecule: ribosomal RNA, 170 nt
Filed under: Enneapterygius sp. KAUM:I:101347
Lineage: Eukaryota; Metazoa; Chordata; Actinopteri; Blenniiformes; Tripterygiidae
Description: partial 12S rRNA
Source: RNAcentral
CACCGCGGUUAUACGAGAGGCCCAAGUUGAUAAAUAUUCGGCGUAAAGAGUGGUUAAGUUGAUAUUAGACUAAAGCUGAAACCCCCUCAAAGCUGUUAUACGUACUCGAGGAUAAGAAGCACUAACACGAAAGUAGCUUUAAAACUCCUGACUCCACGAAAGCUGUGAAA